RNAcentral lists this ribosomal RNA (515 nucleotides) under Amorphoscelis borneana. RNAcentral's name for it is "partial 16S ribosomal RNA". It matches the Rfam family "Bacterial large subunit ribosomal RNA", at positions 1890 to 2600 of the family's 2925-position model. The record is from RNAcentral. Lineage: Eukaryota; Metazoa; Arthropoda; Insecta; Mantodea; Hymenopodidae.
GGUUUCUUGGAUUAUAUAGGAAAUNUNACNUNNNCNCUGAAAGUUUUUUGAAGGGCCGCAGUAUUUUGACUGUGCAAAGGUAGCAUAAUCAUUAGUCUUUUAAUUAAGGGCUGGUAUGAAUGGUUGAACGAGGUAAAUACUGUCUUGUUAUAAUUAUGGUUGAAUUUAGUAGUUAAGUUAAAAUUCUUAAGUGUACUUAGGGGACGAGAAGACCCUAUAGAGUUUAAUAAAAUAUUUAAUUGAUUAAGUUUAUUAUKAAUUUUUAAUUAAUUUURGGUUUUAUUUGGUUGGGGUGAUUUAGAGAUAUUUAAAACUCUUUAUAAAUAUUAAUAUUAUAUAUAGUUUAAUGAUCCAUACAAUUAUGAUUAAAAGAUUAAAUUACCUUAGGGAUAACAGCAUAAUUCUUUUGAAGAGUUCAUAUCGAAAAAGGAGAUUGUGACCUCGAUGUUGGAUUAAGAUAAAUUUUGGGUGUAGAUGUUUAAUAAUUAGGUCUGUUCGACCUAUAAUUUCUUACA